This 78-nucleotide small RNA is filed under the name Flavobacterium nitrogenifigens. Its description in RNAcentral is "Flavo-1 RNA". It matches the Rfam family "Flavo-1 RNA". Lineage: Bacteria; Pseudomonadati; Bacteroidota; Flavobacteriia; Flavobacteriales; Flavobacteriaceae. The record is from RNAcentral.
CCCUAGCCCCGAUAGCAGUGAAAAUCCUUUUGUGUCGGGGUUUGGCACAAAAGAUUGAAAGGUAUAGCGGGAAGAGCU